RNAcentral lists this ribosomal RNA (253 nucleotides) under uncultured bacterium. RNAcentral's name for it is "partial 16S ribosomal RNA". It matches the Rfam family "Bacterial small subunit ribosomal RNA", at positions 524 to 776 of the family's 1533-position model. The record is from RNAcentral.
UACGGGGGGGGCAAGCGUUGUUCGGAAUUACUGGGCGUAAAGGGCUCGUAGGCGGCCAACUAAGUCUGACGUGAAAUCCCUCGGCUUAACCGGGGAACUGCGUCUGAUACUGGAUGGCUUGAGAUUGGGAGAGGGAUGCGGAAUUCCAGGUGUAGCGGUGAAAUGCGUAGAUAUCUGGAGGAACACCCGUGGCGAAGGCGGCAUCCUGGACCAACACUGACGCUGAGGAGCGAAAGCCAGGGGAGCAAACGGG